UACGGAGGAUGCGAGCGUUAUCCGGAUUUAUUGGGUUUAAAGGGUGCGUAGGCGGGCUUUUAAGUCAGCGGUAAAAAUUCGGGGCUCAACCCCGUCCGGCCGUUGAAACUGGGGGUCUUGAGUGGGCGAGAAGAAGGCGGAAUGCGUGGUGUAGCGGUGAAAUGCAUAGAUAUCACGCAGAACCCCGAUUGCGAAGGCAGCCUUCCGGCGCCCUACUGACGCUGAGGCACGAAAGUGCGGGGGUCAAACAGG
RNAcentral lists this ribosomal RNA (252 nucleotides) under uncultured bacterium. RNAcentral's name for it is "partial 16S ribosomal RNA". It matches the Rfam family "Bacterial small subunit ribosomal RNA", at positions 524 to 776 of the family's 1533-position model. The record is from RNAcentral.